UGGGGAAUAUUGGGCAAUGGGCGCAAGCCUGACCCAGCGACGCCGCGUGAAGGAUGAAGGUUUUCGGAUUGUAAACUUCUUUUAAGAGGGACGAUAAUGACGGUACCUCUUGAAUAAGCCCCGGCUAACUACGUGCCAGCAGCCGCGGUAAUACGUAGGGGGCAAGCGUUAUCCGGAUUUACUGGGUGUAAAGGGCGUGUAGGCGGGAUUUCAAGUCAGAUGUGAAAACCGAAGGCUCAAACCUUCGGCCUGCAUUUGAAACUGAAGUUCUUGAGUGCUGGAGAGGCUAACGGAAUUCCUAGUGUAGCGGUGAAAUGCGUAGAUAUUAGGAAGAACACCAGUGGCGAAGGCGGUUAGCUGGACAGUAACUGACGCUGAGGCGCGAAAAGCGUGGGGAGC
This 399-nucleotide ribosomal RNA is filed under the name uncultured Oscillospiraceae bacterium. Its description in RNAcentral is "bacterial SSU rRNA". It matches the Rfam family "Bacterial small subunit ribosomal RNA", at positions 355 to 769 of the family's 1533-position model. The record is from RNAcentral. Lineage: Bacteria; Bacillati; Bacillota; Clostridia; Eubacteriales; Oscillospiraceae.